RNAcentral lists this ribosomal RNA (406 nucleotides) under uncultured Desulfobulbus sp. Its description in RNAcentral is "bacterial SSU rRNA". It matches the Rfam family "Bacterial small subunit ribosomal RNA", at positions 976 to 1382 of the family's 1533-position model. The record is from RNAcentral. Lineage: Bacteria; Pseudomonadati; Thermodesulfobacteriota; Desulfobulbia; Desulfobulbales; Desulfobulbaceae.
AGGCCUUGACAUGCAGAGAACUUUCCAGAGAUGGAUUGGUGCCUUCGGGAACUCUGACACAGGUGCUGCAUGGCUGUCGUCAGCUCGUGUCGUGAGAUGUUGGGUUAAGUCCCGCAACGAGCGCAACCCUUGCCUUUAGUUGCCAGCAGUUCGGCUGGGCACUCUAAAGGGACUGCCGGUGUUAAACCGGAGGAAGGUGGGGAUGACGUCAAGUCCUCAUGGCCUUUAUGACCAGGGCUACACACGUACUACAAUGGCCGAUACAAAGGGCAGCGACACUGCGAGGUGAAGCCAAUCCCGUAAAAUCGGUCUCAGUCCGGAUUGGAGUCUGCAACUCGACUCCAUGAAGUUGGAAUCGCUAGUAAUCGUGGAUCAGCAUGCCACGGUGAAUACGUUCCCGGGCCUU